This 2422-nucleotide ribosomal RNA is filed under the name marine metagenome. Its description in RNAcentral is "bacterial LSU rRNA". It matches the Rfam family "Bacterial large subunit ribosomal RNA", at positions 14 to 2514 of the family's 2925-position model. The record is from RNAcentral.
AGGGCGCAAGGUGAAUGCCUUGGCGCCGGGAGGCGAUGAAGGACGUGGUUACCUGCGAUAAGCCUCGGUCAGUCGGAAACAGACUUUGAUCCGGGGAUUUCCGAAUGGGGAAACCCAGCUGGGCCUUAAACCCAGUUACUGUGAUGUGAAUGCAUAGCAUCACAGAGCGAAACCUGCUGAAGUGAAACAUCUCAGUAAGCAGAGGAAAAGAAAGCGAAUGCGAUUCCGUAAGUAGUGGCGAGCGAAAGCGGAACAGCCCAAACUCAAGAGCUUGCUCUUGGGGGUGUGGGCCUCAAUGUGGUAUCUGGAAGGAUAGAUGAACUCGUUUGGAAAGGCGGGCCAAAGAGGGUGAUAGCCCCGUAGAUGAAAUCCGGAAAGAGCCUAGAGGAUCCCCGAGUAACACGGGAUAAGUGGAACCCUGUGUGAAUUGAUGCGCGAACCAUCGCGUAAGGCUAAAUACUACCCGGCGACCGAUAGUGAACUAGUACCGUGAGGGAAAGGUGAAAAGGACCCCGUGAGGGGAGUGAAAAGUACCUGAAACCGUGCGCCUACAAGGUGUCGGAGCAGUCUUCGGAUUGUGACGGCGUGCCUUUUGCAUAAUGAGUCUGCGAGUUAUUGUUCGUGGCCUGCCUAAGUUCCUUUGGGACGGAGGCGAAGCGAAAGCGAGUGUGACAAGCGCGUCUUGUCGCGGGCAAUAGACCCGAAGCGGAGGUGAUCUAGCCAUGGCCAGGUUGAAGCUGCAGUAACAUGCAGUGGAGGACCGAACCAGUGUACGUUGAAAAGUGCUUGGAUGAGCUGUGGCUGGGAGUGAAAGGCUAAUCAAACCCCGUAAUAGCUGGUUCUCUCCGAAAUAGCUUUAGGGCUAGCGUCAGGUAAAGAACACUGGGGGGUAGAGCACUGAAUGGCUCAGGGCCCAUACCCGGGUACCAAAACCAAUUAAACUCCGAAUACCCAGUUCCCAUAUCCCUGGCAGUCAGACCGUGGGAGAUAACUUUCACGGUCGAAAGGGAAACAACCCAGAUCGCCGGCUAAGGUGCCCAAAUCAGGUUAAGUGGUAAGGAUGUGAAAUUGCACAGACAGUGAGGAUGUUGGCUUAGAGGCAGCCACCAUUUAAACAUAGCGUAACAGCUGACUCAUCGAGCGAUUUUGCGCCGAAAAUGAUUGGCGAUUAAACCUGAUACCGAAGCCGCGGAACGUGCUUGCACGUUGGUAGGAGAGCGUCGCCUGUGCGUUGAAGCAGAACUGUAAGGAACUGUGGAGCGCAGGGGAGUGAGGAUGCAGACAUGAGUAGCGAUAAGCCAGGUGAGAAUCCUGGCCGCCGUAAACCCAAGGGUUCCCUUGCCACGCUCGUCGGCGAGGGGUUAGUCGGGACCUAAGGCGAGGCCGUAAGGCGUAGUCGAUGGACAGCAGGUUAAAUAUUCCUGCACCGGCGGGUAAUUAGUGUUUGAGUGCGCAUUUUUGGAAGGUGUAAACACCAUGUGUUGGGAGGCCUAGUCCUUGUGGCAAAGCCGCACACCCCAAGAGAGUGCCAAGAAAAGCUCAUUCACAUUCUAUGCCCGUCGCCCGUACCGUAAACCGCCACAGGUAGGAGGGUGUAAAUGUACCAAGGCGCGCGAGAGAAAUUUCCUUAAGGAACUCUGCAAUCUAGCCCCGUAACUUCGGAAGAAGGGGUGCCACCUUCGGGUGGCCACAGUAAAGGGGGUCUGGCGACUGUUUACCAAAAACACAGCUCUCUGCUAAGAUGUUAAGUCUACGUAUAGGGAGUGACACGUGACCAAUGCGGAAAGAUUAAGGCUGUUCUGUUAACGCAGGGCACCCAAGUCCCCGUGAAUGUCGGCCGUAACUAUAACGGUCCUAAGGUAGCGAAAUUCCUUGUCGGGUAAGUUCCGACCUGCACGAAUCGUGUAACGACCGGACCGCUGUCUCAAGGAAAAUCUCGGCGAAGUUGUAAUGGCGGUGAAGAUGCCGCCUACCCGCGGUAGGACGGAAAGACCCUGUGCACCUUUACUGUAAGCUGGUAUUGGGUUCUGGACUUAGAUGUGUAGCAUAGGUGGAAGGCGUUGAAACGUGUUCGUCAGGAUACGUUGAGCCAACAAGUGAAAUACCACCCUUUUAUUUCUAGGAUUCUAACCUCGAUUUCUCUGAAGCGAGACGAGGGACAGUGCUUGCGGGUCAGUUUGACUGGGGCGGUUUCCUCCCAAAAAGUAACGGAGGAGCGCGAAGGUACUCUCAGCAUGGUUGGCAACCAUGCCUCGAGCGUAUAGGUAGAAGAGUGCUUGACUGUGAGACCGACAGGUCGAGCAGGUACGAAAGUAGGCCUAAAUGAUCCGACGGUUGAAUAUGGAAUUGCCGUCGCUCAUCGGACAAAAGGUACGCCAGGGAUAACAGGCUUAUCGCGCCCAAGAGUUCAUAUCGACGGCGC